UUCUUCCGCAGUGCAUUCCUCGCUGCAUUCUUGCACGUUCUCUGCGCUGCAACCUCGCCUUUGAGAAGGAUGACAACAUUGCUUUUUAAGUACAGGUUUAAUGUUUGCUUAAGGUACGCCACUGCGCCGUAGCACUUUGGGCUGGCAUCGCAGAAGAUGUGGACUUGCGGGCUCUGGUGAUCAUGUGGAAGAAAACAUCCAUCCACGGCCAGUUUGGUUAGUUCUGGGGCUCCGCUACACCACUCGUCCCAGAGUUAUUUCUUGCCCCUCGGCAUAGGUUCGUCGCAUCCGAUCUGUUCUGCCCACAGAGACUGGAACAACAGCUUGACUCGGAUUGUGAACGGGCUCAGUAAUCCGAGAGUAUCAAAAAUACUAGAAGAAGCUUGCAGGACGGCUCGUUUGGAUUCAGCAACUUCUUCUACGAACUUGAGUUUGUUGUCCAACGUGCACCCAAGCUUAUCGUUCCGGUUAUCCGUUAUGACUCUAAGCAGUUUGGUAGCUGAACAGUCGCCACUGCUAUCACACCCCGUCGGUCUUUCAAAAUUGCACAUUCAACGUCCGAGGAAUUGGAAGAGCACUUCCGCAAGCUCAUUUGUGCUUACCUCAUAAUCGUGUUGGCGUGAUUGUAUAGCAACAGCGAAGUCUCCACAUCGGUAGCACCAGUCAGUAAGUCACCCACAUAAAACGAUGUGUCUACGACA
This is a long non-coding RNA of Ornithodoros turicata, 701 nucleotides long. RefSeq lists it as uncharacterized. The record is from RefSeq and is a predicted model, not a curated record. NCBI's taxonomy places the organism in Eukaryota, Metazoa, Arthropoda, Arachnida, Ixodida, Argasidae. The transcript is spliced from 2 exons.